RNAcentral lists this ribosomal RNA (334 nucleotides) under uncultured Bacillota bacterium. RNAcentral describes it as "bacterial SSU rRNA". It matches the Rfam family "Bacterial small subunit ribosomal RNA", at positions 28 to 351 of the family's 1533-position model. Lineage: Bacteria; Bacillati; Bacillota. The record is from RNAcentral.
GACGAACGCUGGCGGCGUGCCUAAUACAUGCAAGUCGAGCGGACAGAUAAGGAGCUUGCUCCUUUGAAGUUAGUGGCGGACGGGUGAGUAACACGUGGGCAACCUACCCUGUAGAUUGGGAUAACUCCGGGAAACCGGGGCUAAUACCGAAUAAUACUUUUGAACUCAUGUUCGGAAGUUGAAAGAUGGUUCUGCUAUCACUACAGGAUGGGCCUGCGGUGCAUUAGCUAGUUGGUGAGGUAACGGCUCACCAAGGCAACGAUGCAUAGCCGACCUGAGAGGGUGAUCGGCCACACUGGGACUGAGACACGGCCCAGACUCCUACGGGUGGCUG